Molecule: ribosomal RNA, 871 nt
Filed under: Microbacterium sp. 62NP10
Lineage: Bacteria; Bacillati; Actinomycetota; Actinomycetes; Micrococcales; Microbacteriaceae
Description: bacterial SSU rRNA
Rfam family: Bacterial small subunit ribosomal RNA
Source: RNAcentral
CCAUGGCGAACGGGUGAGUAACACGUGAGCAAUCUGCCCCUGACUCUGGGAUAAGCGCUGGAAACGGCGUCUAAUACCGGAUACGAGCUGCGAAGGCAUCUUCAGCAGUUGGAAAGAAUUUCGGUCAGGGAUGAGCUCGCGGCCUAUCAGCUUGUUGGUGAGGUAAUGGCUCACCAAGGCGUCGACGGGUAGCCGGCCUGAGAGGGUGACCGGCCACACUGGGACUGAGACACGGCCCAGACUCCUACGGGAGGCAGCAGUGGGGAAUAUUGCACAAUGGGCGGAAGCCUGAUGCAGCAACGCCGCGUGAGGGAUGACGGCCUUCGGGUUGUAAACCUCUUUUAGCAGGGAAGAAGCGAAAGUGACGGUACCUGCAGAAAAAGCGCCGGCUAACUACGUGCCAGCAGCCGCGGUAAUACGUAGGGCGCAAGCGUUAUCCGGAAUUAUUGGGCGUAAAGAGCUCGUAGGCGGUCUGUCGCGUCUGCUGUGAAAUCCCGAGGCUCAACCUCGGGUCUGCACUGGGUACGGGCAGACUAGAGUGCGGUAGGGGAGAUUGGAAUUCCUGGUGUAGCGGUGGAAUGCGCAGAUAUCAGGAGGAACACCGAUGGCGAAGGCAGAUCUCUGGGCCGUAACUGACGCUGAGGAGCGAAAGGGUGGGGAGCAAACAGGCUUAGAUACCCUGGUAGUCCACCCCGUAAACGUUGGGAACUAGUUGUGGGGUCCAUUCCACGGAUUCCGUGACGCAGCUAACGCAUUAAGUUCCCCGCCUGGGGAGUACGGCCGCAAGGCUAAAACUCAAAGGAAUUGACGGGGACCCGCACAAGCGGCGGAGCAUGCGGAUUAAUUCGAUGCAACGCGAAGAACCUUACCA